UACGUAGGGUGCGAGCGUUAAUCGGAAUUACUGGGCGUAAAGCGUGCGCAGGCGGUUCUGAAAGUCAGCUGUGAAAUCCCCGGGCUUAACCUGGGAAUGGCAUUUGGGACUGCAAGGCUGGAGUGUGGCAGAGGAGACUGGAAUUCCUGGUGUAGCAGUGAAAUGCGUAGAUAUCAGGAGGAAUACCGAUGGCGAAGGCAGGUCUCUGGGCUGACACUGACGCUCAUGCACGAAAGCGUGGGGAGCAAACAGG
Molecule: ribosomal RNA, 253 nt
Filed under: uncultured bacterium
Lineage: Bacteria
Description: partial 16S ribosomal RNA
Rfam family: Bacterial small subunit ribosomal RNA
Source: RNAcentral